GUGAGCGCAGCGUGGAUGGGUGUCCAUACACAGCACGGAGGUGUUCCUAGACAAACACUUUUACACGGAUUAUGUCUCAUGCUCGGGGCUGGAGGUGGAAUUUCCCCCCAGGUGUAGCGGCCCAGUGGGCCCCAAGUUCAUCCUCAAAUCUUGCACAUACCAGUGUGCACACCACUGGAUGAGUGCAAUGCCUCGCUGUGAGCACCUCCUUGUACAAUGUUCAGAUGAGUCAUUGCAACAGCCCUAGAUCCUGCCAGUGUGCAAAAAGCAAAAG
Long non-coding RNA from Corapipo altera (White-ruffed manakin), 274 nucleotides. RefSeq lists it as uncharacterized. The transcript has 3 exons. The record is from RefSeq and is a predicted model, not a curated record. NCBI's taxonomy places the organism in Eukaryota, Metazoa, Chordata, Aves, Passeriformes, Pipridae.